RNAcentral lists this unclassified non-coding RNA (2806 nucleotides) under Leishmania donovani. Its description in RNAcentral is "gene:LdHU3.29.3760(CDS-product:Acyltransferase_pu tative)". Lineage: Eukaryota; Euglenozoa; Kinetoplastea; Trypanosomatida; Trypanosomatidae. The record is from RNAcentral.
GCCGCCUCUUUUUUCUUUCCGCAUACAGUCGCAUACCAUGGCACAAUACAAGCCGAUAAAAUCAACUGGGGUCGCUACACCUUACCUUGUCCACGGCGCGGCAGAACAGUAUCUGCGCAUUCCAUGCGCGGCGUUCUUGUGGUACGCCUUUCUGUCUGGCGCUCUCGCGCCGUUUCUGCGCACCGCGGACGAGGCGACCGUGGCGUCGUGCCACUUCAUCGUGUGGCGCGUCCUUAGAUGGGUUCAUGCCUACCUGUGCGCGAACGGAGUGUUUAUCGUGACGUUGUUCCUUGUAGAGAACAUUCGGUGCCUCAUUGCCCCGGGGCCUAGGCAGCUGUCUUUGGCGGACGACUACGAGGAGGGGAACCCGACAAAGGUGGACAAAAUGGCCGCCUUCGAGUACGAUACCCCAGCUGACGCGUACGAGCGUGUGAAAAUGUUCUGCUUCAUGGUAACCGGCGUGGCCUUUGUACGCAUCUUUACUGCGACAACAGGUAUCUUCCUAGGCCUCUUCACUGCUAGUGUCGCAGGCUACCUCGACCGCUACGCGCAUCCAUGGUGGUUUGGCUUCUGGUCCCGGUUGACAGCUUUUAUCUCUAUUGUGGCCUUCUCCGUGCUCGGCGUGUAUAACGUUCAGCAGUACGGCCAGUUUGCCACCAGAUCUGAGUGCAAGAUUCUCAUCGCAAACCACAGCUGCGUCAUCGAGGUGAUUUGGGUCUACGUGAUGGGCGGCUUCCCAUCCUUCGUCUCGCGCAAGGAGAACCUCUCCUUUUUCUUCUUCGGCAACGUUGUCCGCGGGAGCUCGAGCAUCUUAGUCGACCGAGAUGCAGCGACGUCACGAGAGCAGGCCAUGACGACAAUCCUGCGACGCGCCGGCGACCCCACGGCGCCGCAGCUGAUGAUCUUCCCUGAAGGGACGACAGGGAAUCAGCAAGCCCUGUUCAUGUUCAAAAAGGGUGUGUUCGAGGCUGCAGUGCCGGUGCAGAUGGUGUGCAUUGCCUUUCCCUACAAGCACUUCAAUCCUGCCUGGACGGGGCGCGGCGUCGGUGGCAAUGGACUAUGGGAUAUUUUGGUUCGGCUUAGCUGCCAGUUUGUAAACUACGCUGAGGUGCGCCUUCUCCCUGUCUAUCACCCAACCGAGGAGGAGAGGAGAGACCCGAAGCUGUAUGCCAGCCACUGCCAGAGAAUGAUGGCAACUGUGCUGCGAGAGAAUAUCAGCGACGCCUCGUUCAGCGACUACAAGGAGGCAUUCCGCCACUUCACGGAGCUAAAGAAGAAUCGGUGAGAGCGAAACACGAAAGAGGGUGCGAUUCAGGGGUACUGAGGGCGAGCACAGAGUAAUCUUUUGGGCACUCCUCCCCUCGCAUAUACCCAAACUCACGCAGAUCUGAAGCUGCUCUGAAUGUGGGGGUGGGUGGGAGGGGGCGAUCCGCGUUCGUUGUGUUCGAGAUACUUUGCGCAUGCCGUGGCGACAGCGAGCCCUCUCGUUUUCGCUUGCCUCUUUCUGCCUUCUUCAGCAGGAUGCGAAUGCCUCCGGCUUCCAUUUACUUGUCGGGCUGCCGCAGCUCUGCUGUGGCGUACUGGCCGCCGACACUCUUCAUGGGAUGGGUACAUCAAGAGGUGCUACUUCCGUCGUCCCCGGCGUUGCUGCACCAUUUCUUCGUAUGCUCUCCUUAUGUGUGUGCACGUGGGCACUCGAUAGACGUGUGCGUGCCCAACUGCUCGUUUGCGCGCGCGGCUUCCUCUUUACUGGGGGGCGGCCCAGCCCACCUUUCAGCUUUUUGACAGUGUCUACCCUGGUACGCCCCGAUGACAGGAGGAUAUCUCAUUGCUUGGUAUCUUUGGGUCCAGUACACCCCCUCCCCCCACUCUGCGUGGGGAAGCCAAGCAGCCUCUCCCUAUCCCCUGCCAAUGCCGAGCCACCUCUGGUGGUGACAGGGCCAAGUGCCUACGACGUGAGGGGGAGGCCAGAGUGGUUUGCCGCUACGGAUGCCGGCGGUCAGGCUGUGGACAUUGUUGCGCUGGAGAGGCCAGCGACGGUGCGCACGCUUCUGCCAUCCAUGUGAUGGGCGAAGUGUCAGCGCGACUCGUACAUAUCCCACCCCCGGGCCUCGCACUGCCCCACUGGUGUGGGGCGCCGGAGUGCGGGACCGCGAGGAGAUGCACUGGGUGGCGACCAGCACAAGGGUAGCUGCUGUGAGGCGACCUGCGAUGCGGGGAGGGGGGGCGAGUAGAGUUUUGCGUAGGGGCGGUGCUGGGAUGACGGAGUCGGCGCAUUGCUGUAACACGUGUGCCUAGCGCUGCCUCGCCCCACGCGGAUGGGGUUCGCGGCAGGCCCGGUGGGUAGAGCGGAGUUUGGAUUCAUGUUCUAUGGCAGAGAAUGGUGGACACGUUGCGGAACAAGCAAAAGCAAACAAAUGUAUCGUUGUGGGCCUCUCUUUCUCGUUUGUGUGCAUAUGUGCAUUCAUCUGCAACUGUACUUACUGUGUCUCUCUUCUUAAGCCUCCUGCCGUCUCUCUCACUUUCGUCCUGCUGCUGAUGCUGAUGCUUUACGGUGCACGUCGUAUUGUUUUUUUUUUCUGAGUGGAAAGGAGUACGCAGCACGAAGUGUCGGACGAAGCGAGAUAAAAAUGGGACAGAGGUGUGGGAGAGGGGAGGGUCGCCUUGUGUGGAGUGGCUGAAGCAGAGACAGAAAAGAACAAGGACUGCCGAAAAGGGAGAUGCUGCCCUGAUAAAGGAUGCCCAUCUUGCGCCACCGCUGACUCCGGAAACAUUUUGAUUGACCGCAACUGCGGCACUGAUCUUC